GCUGUCAGCGAACAUGUGGACACCGGAAAUACGACAUGUCGCUUCCCGGAAACACGCGGGCUAGUGGCGCGAAAUCACAGGAGCCGCACUGGUGAAGAUGAGCAAGCGGAGGUCAGCGGCUCUCACUGGAGCUCAGGGCGUCUCUCUGGCUCAGAAGCUCCUGCGGGAGAGACUGUGUCAUCAGAAGCUGCCGGAUCAGCCUGUGGGUCUGGACUCCCAGUACAAGCACAUGCUGGAGCUGCUGAGACGUACAGCUGUUCAUGGAGAGAGUAACUCGGUCCUCAUUGUUGGUCCACGAGGAUCCGGUAAAACUAUGCUGCUGGGUUGUGUCCUCCGAGAGCUCAUGAGUCUGAGGGAAGUGCAGAAGAAUGUUCUUCUGGUGGAGCUCAACGGUCUUCUGCAGACAGACGACAAAAUCGCUCUGAAAGAAAUCACUCGCCAGCUGCACCUGGAGAACGUCGUAGGAGACAAAGUCUUUGGGAGCUUUGCAGAGAAUCUGGCUUUUCUCUUAGAAGCUCUCAAGAAAGGUGAUAAGAGCAGCAGUCGUCCCGUGCUGUUCGUGUUGGAUGAGUUCGAUCUGUUCGCUCAUCAUAAGAACCAGACGCUGCUGUAUAACCUGCUGGAUGUGUCUCAGUCUGCGCAGACGCCUGUCGCUGUGGUGGGACUCACCUGCAGACUGGACGUGCUGGAGCUGCUGGAGAAGCGAGUGAAGUCUCGGUUCUCUCACAGACAGAUCCAUCUGUUCAGCUCGCUCUCGUUCAGUCAGUAUGUGGAUGUGGUUCGUGCUCAACUCAGUUUGCCUCCGGACUUUCCAGAUCCCAAAUUCUCAGAUGAGUGGAACCACAGCGUCACGAAAUUAUGUGACGAUAAGACGGUUGAGGAGAUUUUGAGGAGGAACUUUAAUGGCAGUAAAGAUUUCCGCUCUCUGCAUUCGCUGCUGUUUCUGGCUGUCAGUCGAGUGUCUGUCUCUCAUUCGACUCUUCGUGAGGCUGAUCUUAUAGAGGCCUGUCGCUUGAUUUCUGCUGAUUCCAAAGCAAACGUCCUUCACGGUCUGUCUAUUCUAGAGCUGUGUUUGAUUAUUGCUAUGAAGCAUCUGAAUGACACUUAUGACGGAGAACCCUUCAAUUUCCAGAUGGUCCAUAAUGAGUUUAAGAAGUUCAUUCAGAGGAAGUCUCACUCCAUCCAUAAGUUUGAGAAGCCCGUGGUGAUGAAGGCGUUUGAGCAUCUGCUGCAGCUGGAGCUGGUGCGUCCGGUGGACUCUGGUGUGUGUAAAGUUCAGCGCGAGUAUCAGCUGAUGCGGCUGAUGCUGGAACACGGUCAGGUGAUGGAGGCGCUGCAGAAGUACCCACAAUGCCCCACAGACGUCAAACAGUGGGCCCUCUCGGCCUUCGGCUGAACACUGCUGCAUGCUUUACUUGCUGAAAUAUGCAUUUUGUACAUUUAAAUGCAUACUCUUCUGGCCCCUGAAGGAUGUUGUACAACGUUAUUGAAAAGUUAUUUUAGUUAGUUGACAUGACAUUAUAGAAGCCCGUUUCAGCCACAGGAUAAAAAUAUUAAAAAGGUAACUGACUUUUUAUCUCACAAUUCUGACUUUU
RNA transcript from Sinocyclocheilus rhinocerous, 1595 nucleotides. It is a transcript of the gene named origin recognition complex subunit 4, with no coding region annotated. Lineage: Eukaryota; Metazoa; Chordata; Actinopteri; Cypriniformes; Cyprinidae. The transcript is spliced from 15 exons. The record is from RefSeq and is a predicted model, not a curated record.